CGAAAGCCUGACGGAGCAAGACCGCGUGAGGGAGGAAGGCUCUUGGGUUGUAAACCUCUUUUCUCAGGGAAGAAGCUCUGACGGUACCUGAGGAAUCAGCCUCGGCUAACUCCGUGCCAGCAGCCGCGGUAAUACGGAGGAGGCAAGCGUUAUCCGGAAUUAUUGGGCGUAAAGCGUCCGCAGGUGGCGCCUCAAGUCUGCUGUCAAAGGUCGGGGCUUAACUCCGGAAAGGCAGGGGAAACUGAAGCGCUAGAGGGGGGGAGGGGUAGAGGGAAUUCCCGGUGUAGCGGUGAAAUGCGGAGAGAUCGGGAAGAACAUCGGUGGCGAAAGCGCUCUACUGGGCCGCAACUGACACUCAGGGACGAAAGCUAGGGGAGCG
This 379-nucleotide ribosomal RNA is filed under the name uncultured cyanobacterium. RNAcentral describes it as "bacterial SSU rRNA". It matches the Rfam family "Bacterial small subunit ribosomal RNA", at positions 376 to 770 of the family's 1533-position model. Lineage: Bacteria; Bacillati; Cyanobacteriota. The record is from RNAcentral.